GUAGUAACCUUUUUCCAAGACUUCGGUUAUCUGAAAAGGAAAAUUAUAGGUAGACAAUGAAAAUAUUAAAUAAUAUGAAUAAUGGAUAUAUUGGAGGUUCAUUUUACUAGGUGUGCGGAUGGUUAUUCUAAUAUUAAGAUUUAGGUGAGUAAUUUAAAAGUGUAGUGUGUUUUGAUUUGAUUGGUAAUUGUUCAUAUUAUUCAAAAAAGUUAUUGGUUAUC
Molecule: non-coding RNA, 221 nt
Organism: Arachis ipaensis
Lineage: Eukaryota; Viridiplantae; Streptophyta; Magnoliopsida; Fabales; Fabaceae
Source: RefSeq, a predicted model, not a curated record